UGCUUUAGUACGCCGCUGGCACCUUUACUCUCGCCGGCCGCGCAAACCCGUUUGUGCUCGGUAUCCUAGUGCACACGUCUUGCAAGCGACGGCGCCAUGAGUCUGACUUCCAGUUCCAGCGUACGAGCCCACUCCAUGCUGGGAAUAGACAACUCUCCUCUGAGGCUGAGGCUAACCAGAUUAUGCAGAACUUUCUUCUCUCCAACAUUGCCUGGAGCUGGGUUGAAUGGAUCGCAGCAGUUACCAUUGCUGCUGGGACAGCUGCAAUUGGUUAUCUAGCUUACAAAAGAUUUUAUGUUAAAGAUCAUCGAAAUAAAGCUAUGAUAAACCUUCACAUCCAGAAAGACAACCCCAAGAUAGUACAUGCUUUUGACAUGGAGGAUUUGGGAGAUAAAGCUGUGUACUGCCGUUGUUGGAGGUCCAAAAAGUUCCCAUUCUGUGAUGGGGCUCACACAAAACAUAACGAAGAGACUGGAGACAAUGUGGGCCCUCUGAUCAUCAAGAAAAAAGAAACUUAAAUGGACACUUUUGAUGCUGCAAAUCAGCUUGUCGUGAAGUUACCUGAUGGUUUAAUUAGAAUGACUACCACCUCUGUCUGAUUCACCUUCGCUGGAUUCUAAAUGUGAUAUUUAAUGAAGAUGGAUCCAUUAAAGGAGCCAAUAGUGAAAAUGUAGUUAAAGGUGAUAUUACAUUUAAAU
Molecule: small RNA, 698 nt
Filed under: Pongo abelii (Sumatran orangutan)
Lineage: Eukaryota; Metazoa; Chordata; Mammalia; Primates; Hominidae
Description: processed transcript
Source: RNAcentral